AACUUUCGUUAUAUAUUUUUUCUGAAGUCUGUUUUCAUUUAAUUUUCCACUUUUAUAAUAUAACUUUUCAUUUCAUAAUGUCACUUUUCAUGACCAGCCAGAUUAAGAUCUCCUUUUUGCUGGAGUGACCACAGAGAGGGGGUAGUGGGAAGUUGUCACACAUCCAACAGUUAUGGAGCAACAAUAUUGUUAAUUUCCAGUCAUUUCUAACCACCUGACCAAGCCCAAUGUGUGAGUCCAGUAUUCACUCUCUUGUUACUCUGCUUUUGCAUAGCGCAACUUGGGGGUGCACUGUAGGAAAUGGCAGUCUAACGGCGAGCGGUACGGCUCUCUGUUUCUCCAAACUGGGGAUGCGCUGCCAUCUUCAGCAGCAGUAGCCUCUGGCUAAUUGAUUCAGAACUACUUUGGCAUCGUGCCUGUUGUAGCUAACAAGAGCUAACUGGCUAAAUACCGUAGCAGUGGUCGAGCUCCCUUAAGAGAAGCAGGUAUUAUGUGAUUGGCUGAAAGGUGAGAAGGCAGUGACU
This is a long non-coding RNA of Micropterus dolomieu (smallmouth bass), 524 nucleotides long. RefSeq lists it as uncharacterized. The record is from RefSeq and is a predicted model, not a curated record. Lineage: Eukaryota; Metazoa; Chordata; Actinopteri; Centrarchiformes; Centrarchidae. The transcript has 3 exons.